GGCUUAAUUCGACAGUAAGCGAGAACUUACCAGGCUUGACAAGAUAGUGAAAGCUAUAGGAAACUAUACGCCCACCCACAAGGACACUUAUCCCAGGUGCUGCAUGGGUUGUCGUCAGCAGGUGGCUUGAGUUGCUCCCUUAAAUGGGGUAACCUGCGCAACCCUUGUCCUAUGUUUCAUGUGUCAUAGGAGACUGCCUGGGACAACCAGGAGGAAGGUGAGGAUGACGCCAAAUCAGCAUGGCCCUUUGACGCCCUGGGCUGCACACGUGGUACAAUGGGACCGACAAUGGGAAGCGAAAGAGCAAUCUGGAGCAAAUCCUAUCAAACGGCCCCCAAUACGGAUUGAGGUCUGCAACCCGACCUCAUGAAGCCGGAAUCGCUAGUAACCGCAGAUCAGCCACGCUGCGGUGAAUAUGUCCCUGGGUCUU
Molecule: ribosomal RNA, 430 nt
Filed under: uncultured Nordella sp.
Lineage: Bacteria; Pseudomonadati; Pseudomonadota; Alphaproteobacteria; Hyphomicrobiales
Description: bacterial SSU rRNA
Rfam family: Bacterial small subunit ribosomal RNA
Source: RNAcentral